CCCGCAGCUCUGAAGCGGGGGCCGCGGCUGCAGGCGGCGCGGAGCCCCGCCAUCCCGCAGCUCUGAAGCGGGGGCCGCGGCGGGGAAGGCUCUUGGGCAGGACUGGGCUCUCCCCAACAAAAUGGUUUUUCCUCUUGUGCAGUGAGAAUGAGAUUUUGCAGGCAACUCUGUAGGUGGGGGGAAAAAAUAAAGAAAAAUAGUAGUUUUUUUUUCUUGGAACGUUGGGUAAAUUCCUUGGGAGCUGCCUCGGGGGAAUCACAGCUCAGCUUCUUCUUUUUGGAGGUGAUGGAAGCAGUGAAACAGUGCAGGGCUGCUCCUCCUCACCCUUUGGGCCUGGCAGGCUCUGGGUGCCUGGUGGAUGUUCCCUGCGCAGGGAGGUUUUCCUGGGGGUGACACUGAGGCCAGGCUGUUCCAGCUGGGAUCCCCUGUAGGACACAACAUAGCACAGCAUGGACACGCAGCUCUCACAAGGGUUUUAUGGGAGCUGUAGGAAUGCUGUGAUUCCCAAACAAAAGGGAAAUGGGCUGCUGUGAUCCCACCUCGAGCUGCUCCUUGGAUCCUUCCCUUCCCAGCUCCUUUUGCUUUCCUUCUGUGUCCCUCUCGUGGCAGCUCAGGAGAAAUGGCCCAGCUGCACCGGAAAAACUCAAUCCCAAUUUUUUUCCCUAUGGAUUUAACCCUUAAAAAAAUAAAUUGGAAUUUUGUCAGCGUAUAGACCAAAAAAAUCUGUUUAAAAACAUUUUUCGUUGUUGUUCUUUCAUUUACUGGCAUUCAAUAAAUUGAAUACCACUCGGUUGGUUUUUUCAUUUA
Molecule: long non-coding RNA, 807 nt
Organism: Melospiza melodia melodia
Lineage: Eukaryota; Metazoa; Chordata; Aves; Passeriformes; Passerellidae
Exons: 2
Source: RefSeq, a predicted model, not a curated record